RNAcentral lists this ribosomal RNA (474 nucleotides) under uncultured bacterium. Its description in RNAcentral is "bacterial SSU rRNA". It matches the Rfam family "Bacterial small subunit ribosomal RNA", at positions 10 to 507 of the family's 1533-position model. The record is from RNAcentral.
AGUUUGAUCCUGGCUCAGAUUGAACGCUGGCGGCAUGCCUUACACAUGCAAGUCGAACGGUAGAGUAGCAAUACUCGAGAGUGGCGAACGGGUGAGUAAUAUAGUCGGAACGUGCCCAGUCGUGGGGGAUAACGUAGAGAAAUUUACGCUAAUACCGCAUACGAUCUAAGGAUGAAAGCGGGGGACUCGCAAGGGCCUCGCGCGAUUGGAGCGGCUGAUAUCAGAUUAGGUUGUUGGUGAGGUAAAAGCUCACCAAGGCGACGAUCCUUAGCUGGUCUGAGAGGAUGAUCAGCCACACUGGGACUGAGACACGGCCCAGACUCCUACGGGAGGCAGCAGUGGGGAAUAUUGGACAAUGGGCGAAAGCCUGAUCCAGCAAUGCCGCGUGAGUGAUGAAGGCCUUCGGGUUGUAAAGCUCUUUUACUCGGGACGAUAAUGACGGUACCGAGAGAAUAAGCCCCGGCUAACUCCGUG